This 253-nucleotide ribosomal RNA is filed under the name uncultured bacterium. RNAcentral describes it as "partial 16S ribosomal RNA". It matches the Rfam family "Bacterial small subunit ribosomal RNA", at positions 524 to 776 of the family's 1533-position model. The record is from RNAcentral.
GACGUAGGGCGCGAGCGUUGUCCGGAUUUAUUGGGCGUAAAGAGCUCGUAGGCGGCUUGUUGCGUCGUCCGUGAAAACCUGGGGCUCAACUCCAGGCUUGCGGUCGAUACGGGCAGGCUAGAGUUCGGUAGGGGAGACUGGAAUUCCUGGUGUAGCGGUGAAAUGCGUAGAUAUCUGGAGGAACACCGGUGGCGAAGGCGACAUCCUGGACCGGUAUUGACGCUGAGGCGCGAAAGCCAGGGGAGCAAACGGG